GCAUCGAUGAACAACGUAGCGAAGUGCGAUAUGUAAUGUGAAUUGCAGAAUUCCGUGAAUCAUCGAAUUUUUGAACGCAAAUUGCACUCUCUUCGGAGAGUAUGCCUGUUUGAGGGUCAGCCUAAAAAAAUCGACAUAGUUGCUGUUUCGCGGUGACAAUCGUCGGAAAUUGGGUCAUCUUAAACCUUUUGGGUUUAAGCGGCUUAAAAUUUUAUUUACGAUUUCACGAACGUUUUUAAGAUUUUAUUUCUUAUACGUUUAUGUAUCGAUCUUUACUAGACGUGGCCGUUGCAUCGGAUCACGUCCAUAAAUAUUUCGUAACUGACCUCAUACAGGUAAGAACACCCGCUGAACUUAAGCAUAUCAAUAAGCGGAGGA
Molecule: ribosomal RNA, 378 nt
Filed under: Glomeraceae sp. 4 MLB-2017
Lineage: Eukaryota; Fungi; Glomeromycota; Glomeromycetes; Glomerales; Glomeraceae
Description: eukaryotic LSU rRNA
Rfam family: 5.8S ribosomal RNA (bases 1-119)
Source: RNAcentral